This is a long non-coding RNA of Equus asinus (donkey), 1783 nucleotides long. The record is from Ensembl. NCBI's taxonomy places the organism in Eukaryota, Metazoa, Chordata, Mammalia, Perissodactyla, Equidae.
CUUUUUUUUUUUUUUGGCUGAGGGAGAUAUGACCUGAGCUAACAUCGGUGCCAGUCUUGCUUUGUUUUGUAUGUGGGUCACAUGGCCGCUGACAAGUGGUGUGGGUGCACACCCGGGACCUGAAUUGGGCCACAGGGCCAGCCUCCUCAUUUACUAAUAAUAAUUUUUUUUUUCUUUUUUAAGAUUAGCACAUGAGCUAAUAUCUGUUGCUAGUCUUUUCUUUUUUCUUCUCCUUUCUCCCUGAAGCCCCCCAGUAAUAGUUGUAGAUUCUAGUUGUAGGUCCUUCUGGUUGUGCUAUGUGGCAUCCCACAUGCCACAACUAGAUGGACCCACAACUAAAAUAUACAACUAUGUACUGGGGGAGAUUUGGGGAGAAAAAGGAAUAAAAAAAUUUUUUUUUAAAUGUGUAUACAAGGUAAUUUGACAAAAUUUGAAUAAUGUGUUUGAGUAAAAAAAGAUGAAGUGCAUUGUAUGAUCCUAGCAUCUUGGAAGCUCAUACUAUCAGAUCUUGGAAAAUUAGCCAUCACCCCUCCUUAUUGACCCCUCUUUUCUCCACUACUGAUGACUUUCAUGCCUGGCCCACCGCUUUCCUUUCCACUCAUGCCUCUAUCAGAUUUCUUAGAGACUUCAGCAUCCUCAUGGAAGACCUAUCCAAAAUCUUGGCCUCAUUUUCCUACCGGCCAAUGAUUUUGUACUAGAGACCAUUGCCUGCCCUCAGGCCCACUGCGUUGCACAACCUUGGUGGGCACUUAUAUAGAUUGCAUGUGCUUAGUGUCCCUGGUUGUGUGACACACCCCUGCCCUUCCUGGUGUUAUCUAGGCCUUGCUUUAGUGGAGGAGCACAUUCUCUGAGAUUUGCCUUUCUGUCAGGCAGCUCUGGAAACCACAGCCCAGGCCCCAGGGGUUCCAGACUUCAUGUCCCAACUCCAGCAGUCCUGGUGGGCAGCUGGAGAGCAUGUCAGAUGUGAGAGCGUAGGAUUGUGGGAAGCAGAAGUCACACACUUACAAGAUGCUUGACCUUACCCAUUAGUUAUCCCCUGAGCAAGUAAAGGACUGUUUAUGCUUUGAGGCUAAUCUAUUUAGGUAACAUUUUCAUCCAAAUCUAAAGGGUGAAUUCCUAAAAAGGGCAACAAAGUGAUUGCAAAGAAGGCUUCAGAUCUGUCUACAGUCCGUCUACGAUGGGAGUUGGUUUAUUCCAGGUUCCUUGGCCCAAUUUGAGAAAUUAGUUUGCUUAUUCAGUUGUUGGUUUAUUUCACAAAUAUUUAUUCCAUGCCUACCAUGUGCCUGGCGCUAGGCUAGGCAUUGUGCAUGCAGAAACAGAUGUCCUUACCUAAUGAAGCCAAACGGUAGAGUGGGGUGGGGACAGUGGUGGUCUAUUUAAAGACUGCCCCCAAAUAAAGUUGCAAAUGUGUGAAAUCCUGGGAGAGCCUGUGAGAGGGGAUUUGAGUUCCUCAGGGAGGUCAGGGGAAGCUUCCCUGAGGAGGUGAUGCUUGAGCUGCGAUCUGAUGCUUGAGGAAGUGUUAACCAAGCAGAAGGAACAGCCUGUGCAAAGCCUCCAGAGCAGGAAAGAGCGUGGAAUAUAAGGCCUGAAAGUCCAGUGUGUGUGGAGUCAAGAGGGUGAGGCUGCAGGAGGGCAGGGGCUGGAGCGUACUGGACCUUGCUGUCUCCUCUAUUCUAGGAAUGAUUGGGAAACAUAGGGUUUUAGGUGAGUGGAGGAAAGAGAGUGGUGCAUGAUAGGAAUUGCAUUUUGAGAAAUUCCCUCCUGCUGCAGGGUGAAGAUCGGA